This 699-nucleotide long non-coding RNA is filed under the name Gossypium raimondii (Peruvian cotton). RNAcentral describes it as "long non-coding RNA (GRAI_LNC008352)". Lineage: Eukaryota; Viridiplantae; Streptophyta; Magnoliopsida; Malvales; Malvaceae. The record is from RNAcentral.
UUUCACUUGAGAGAAUGCUUGAAUGGCUCUUUUUGUCUCCCCUUCUAUUCUCACAAUGCUCAAUGCCUUUUUCCACUUGAUCAUUUGCAAUCAGUUCUUUAGGGAACUAACCCGAUCCUUCGGACUUAUUAACUGUGUCAAACUUACAAGAGAAAGGGAAAAGAAAAAAAUAAUAAAGGCUAAAGAAACAAAUAGUUAAAGAAAGAUAUAGGACUGGCAAAGAAAAAAAAUGAAGAAACGAGGAUGACAACAAGAAAGAAAAAACUCAACAACUUACUACAAAAGAAAUGCUUAUAAUAAUCCUAUCACCGAAUCAAGCAAGAAAACUUGUUUUGGAUGAUUUUUACGCAAUACAAGGUGUAAUUUGAGCAGCUUCCAACAUGUCACACACAAUUUAACACUGUUCUUUUAUAAUUUGCACAAAAUUUCAAAAACUAAUUUUAUUAUAUUUUUUCUUUUUCUUUUAAACUUUGAUAUUCAAAUUUUUUUUGUUGUUUUUUUGCUUUUUUUAAACUUUGAUCAAUAUAUAAUAUUUUUAUUUUGUUUGUUUGUUUUCUUUCGGUGCAGAACGUGCUAAAAUCUAACUUAAGCUCUGAUACCACUUGAUAUGGCGUUGCUUAUCGAAACAACGAACCUUGAAGGAUUGCGAAUCUAGGAUUAUAGAAAACAUUCUUUCUGCAGCAUAAACAACACACAAAC